GACGAACCGUGCGGACGUUGUUCGGAAUCACUGGGCUUAAAGGGCGCGUAGGCGGUGCGGUAAGUCACCUGUGAAAUCUCCUGGCUCAACUGGGAGCUUGCAGGCGAAACUGCCGUGCUGGAGUGUGGGAGAGGUGCGUGGAAUUCCUGGUGUAGCGGUGAAAUGCGUAGAUAUCAGGAGGAACACCGGUGGCGAAGGCGGGUCUCUGGGCCGUAACUGACGCUGAGGAGCGAAAGCGUGGGGAGCGAACAGG
This 253-nucleotide ribosomal RNA is filed under the name uncultured bacterium. RNAcentral describes it as "partial 16S ribosomal RNA". It matches the Rfam family "Bacterial small subunit ribosomal RNA", at positions 524 to 776 of the family's 1533-position model. The record is from RNAcentral.